This 253-nucleotide ribosomal RNA is filed under the name uncultured bacterium. RNAcentral's name for it is "partial 16S ribosomal RNA". It matches the Rfam family "Bacterial small subunit ribosomal RNA", at positions 524 to 776 of the family's 1533-position model. The record is from RNAcentral.
UACGGAGGGUGCAAGCGUUAUCCGGAUUCACUGGGUUUAAAGGGUGCGUAGGUGGGUCUGUAAGUCAGUGGUGAAAUCCCCGAGCUUAACUUGGGAACUGCCGUUGAUACUAUAGAUCUUGAAUAUCGUGGAGGUAAGCGGAAUAUGUCAUGUAGCGGUGAAAUGCUUAGAUAUGACAUAGAACACCAAUUGCGAAGGCAGCUUACUACACGAUCAUUGACACUGAGGCACGAAAGCGUGGGGAGCAAACCGG